This is a long non-coding RNA of Cavia porcellus (domestic guinea pig), 1328 nucleotides long. RefSeq lists it as uncharacterized. The transcript has 3 exons. The record is from RefSeq and is a predicted model, not a curated record. NCBI's taxonomy places the organism in Eukaryota, Metazoa, Chordata, Mammalia, Rodentia, Caviidae.
UGGGUAAUGGAAGUUACACCCUGGAUGUGGGUGGCACUGUCAUGGUUUAUGUCGGUGGCCGCCAAGCCUCAUGCCUUUGCAUUAUGCAUUUGUGAUUGGUUCAUUGUCUAGUGCUUGGAUUGGGGGUGUGAGGGCUACACCUGCCAAGGGGUGGAGCCAGGAUGUGAUGUAAUAGCAGGAAGAAGGAGUGUCUCUCUCUCUUGCUGGUUUCUGCUUUGCUGUUUGCAAGGCAAACCCUGCCUUGGAGCCAACCGAGUAUGGAUGGAAACUGGCAGUAGCUGCUUCCACUAGGGAGGAGUUAGCCAAGCGCUGGGAAAGACAGAAGUUGCCCGCACCAGUCCGCAAUCCUAUCCACAGACUCUGGAAGCAGAACGAACGGCAGGGACCUCUGCCUCCACUUUGGGUGUGGGGACUGAACCCAGAGCCCCGAGCAUGCUAAGCACACCGAAGCUGAGCUGCACCUCCCACCCUUUGUCUUCUUUAUUUGUCCAUCACCAAGUUUGUGGAAGACAACUCCAGUGACUCCUUGAAUCAAAACAAUUGCUGUGACUUUGAAUACUUGGAGACUCAUUUCCUUAUACUGAUAUGUAAAAAGCUGGCUAGGAUAUUUCCUUCUCUCUUCAAUUGGCUCUGAGCAUUGCAAAUAAGGCUAGCCAAGGUGCAAAUGUGCAACAUCUAUAGCCAUCAGACAGUCCUGUUUCCUUGCAUGGUCCUCUCCUCAACAGGAUUGAGCUGGGGAGAUGUUAGAGCAAACAGCUCAGGGAAUGUCAACUGGAUACAAGCCUCAAGAUAGGAGGCUAUUACUCCCCAGGGAACAAGAAUUUGCAUAUCAGAAACCUAAACCAUAGCCCCCCAAAACAAUUCCAGUGCUACCUUAAUUGGGUUAUGUAAAUUGAUCCUUCUGCAUAUCUUUAUCUCUGCAAAUUACAGAGAUGCUAUUCUUGCACCUGGUCAGCCAGCUCAAGUCACUCAGUAAUCCCAGACAUCCUCACUAUCACUCAUCCCUGAGCCACCCCACCUUCUUCACAAGAGAAUAAAUGCUGGGAGAGGCCUGGGACCGAGGCCUUUGUCCACAUGUCCUCGCAAGGAUUGGACUUAGGACCCCUUGGCUGCCCUUAAUGUGGAACAUGUCCUGGUGUCUUUACUCUCGCUGUGGGUUGGAUUGGUGAUGGUAGAUUGGGAUUAACUUGCUAGGAUUCCAAUAAUGUCUCAAUGGAAUUACAAAUGUAACUUUUUGGAUUGUGAGGAAAACUAGAAAGAGGAUUACAAUACUUGGGUAAUUGAACUUGAUAUUUAGGUUUACAAUAAAGUUGUUCUCAUCUUCCAGC